Molecule: ribosomal RNA, 520 nt
Filed under: uncultured Glomus
Lineage: Eukaryota; Fungi; Glomeromycota; Glomeromycetes; Glomerales; Glomeraceae
Description: SSU rRNA
Rfam family: Eukaryotic small subunit ribosomal RNA
Source: RNAcentral
AGCAGCCGCGGUAAUUCCAGCUCCAAUAGCGUAUAUUAAAGUUGUUGCAGUUAAAAGGCUCGUAGUUGAAUUUCGGGAUCAAGGAAUCGGUCAUGCCUCGGUAUGUACUGGUUUUAUUGGUUCUCACCUUCUAAAGAACCAUGAUGUCAUUCAUUUGAUGUUAUGGGGAAUUAGGACUGUUACCUUGAAAAAAUUAGGGUGUUUAAAGCAGGCUUACGCUUGAAUACAUUAGCAUGGAAUAAUGAAAUAGGACAUCAGAUUCUAUUUUGUUGGUUUCUAGGAUCGAUGUAAUGAUUAAUAGGGAUAGUUGGGGGCAUUAGUAUUCAAUUGUCAGAGGUGAAAUUCUUGGAUUUAUUGAAGACUAACUACUGCGAAAGCAUCUGCCAAGGAUGUUUUCAUUAAUCAAGAACGAAAGUUAGGGGAUCGAAGACGAUCAGAUACCGUCGUAGUCUUAACCAUAAACUAUGCCGACUAGGGAUCGGAUGAUGUUUAUUUUUUAGUGACUCAUUCGGCACCUUAC